GCGAAAGCAUUUGCCAAGAAUGUUUUCAUUAAUCAAGAACGAAAGUCAGAGGUGCGAAGGCGAUCAGAUACCGCCGUAGUUCUGACCGUAAACGAUGCCGACUGGCAAUUGGGCGCACUUCUGCCGAAGUUGCGGCCAGCAGUAUUCUACCCGGGAAACCAAAGUCACUGGGCUCCGGGGGGAGUAUGGUUGCAAAGCUGAAACUUAAAGGAAUUGACGGAAGGGCACCACCAGGAGUGGAGCCUGCGGCUUAAUUUGACUCAACACGGGAAACCUCACCCGGCCCGAACACUGUUAUGACAGACAGGUUGAGACGUCUUUCUCGAUUCAGUGGUUGGUGGUGCAUGGCCGUUCUUAGUUCGUGGAGCGAUCUGUCUGGUUAAUUCCGAUAACGAACGAGACUCUUGCCUGCUAAAUAGACGGCGCCGACGCAAGUCACGGCGACCGCAUGCUUCUUAGAGGGACAAGCGGCUCUUAGCCGCGUGAAGCGAAGAGCAAUAACAGGUCUGUGAUGCCCUCAGAUGUUCGGGGCCGCACGCGCGCUACACUGCUUGCAUCAACGUGUGCCACCCUCGCCUGACGGCGCGGGCAAUCCGUUGAAACGCAAGCGUGCUAGGGAUCGGAGAUUGCAAUUGUUCUCCGUCAACGAGGAAUUCCUUGUACUCACGAGUCAUCAGCUCGCGGGGAAUCUGUCCCUGCCCUUUGUACACACCGCCCGUCGCUACUACCGAUUGAGUGGUUUAGUGAGGCUCACGGACCGCGCGCGGCACUCGGCGCUUUCGGGCGCUCGUCGCGAGUGGAAAGUGAUACGAACUUGAUCACUUCUAGGAAGUAAAAGUCGUAACAAGGUUUUCGUAGGUGAACCUGCGGAAGGUAC
Molecule: ribosomal RNA, 877 nt
Filed under: Aplousina laevigata
Lineage: Eukaryota; Metazoa; Bryozoa; Gymnolaemata; Cheilostomatida; Flustridae
Description: SSU rRNA
Rfam family: Eukaryotic small subunit ribosomal RNA
Source: RNAcentral